RNAcentral lists this ribosomal RNA (224 nucleotides) under uncultured bacterium. RNAcentral describes it as "partial 16S ribosomal RNA". It matches the Rfam family "Bacterial small subunit ribosomal RNA", at positions 326 to 544 of the family's 1533-position model. The record is from RNAcentral.
ACGCUCGACACCUACGGGGCAGCAGUAGGGAAUCUUCCACAAUGGGCGCAAGCCUGAUGGAGCAACACCGCGUGAGUGAAGAAGGGUUUCGGCUCGUAAAGCUCUGUUGUUGGAGAAGAACGUGCGUGAGAGUAACUGUUCACGCAGUGACGGUAUCCAACCAGAAAGUUACGGCUAACUACGUGCANCAGCCGACGGUAAUCUGAGGCGGGCGUGGCGAAGGC